RNAcentral lists this ribosomal RNA (496 nucleotides) under uncultured bacterium. RNAcentral describes it as "partial 16S ribosomal RNA". It matches the Rfam family "Bacterial small subunit ribosomal RNA", at positions 28 to 507 of the family's 1533-position model. The record is from RNAcentral.
GACGAACGCUGGCGGCGUGCCUAAUACAUGCAAGUAGAACGCUGAAGAGAGGAGCUUGCUCUUCUUGGAUGAGUUGCGAACGGGUGAGUAACGCGUAGGUAACCUGCCUUGUAGCGGGGAUAACUAUUGGAAACGAUAGCUAAUACCGCAUAACAAUGGAUGACACAUGUCAUUUAUUUGAAAGGGGCAAUUGCUCCACUACAAGAUGGACCUGCGUUGUAUUAGCUAGUAGGUGAGGUAACGGCUCACCUAGGCGACGAUACAUAGCCGACCUGAGAGGGUGAUCGGCCACACUGGGACUGAGACACGGCCCAGACUCCUACGGGAGGCAGCAGUAGGGAAUCUUCGGCAAUGGGGGCAACCCUGACCGAGCAACGCCGCGUGAGUGAAGAAGGUUUUCGGAUCGUAAAGCUCUGUUGCAAGUCAAGAACGAGUGUGAGAGUGGAAAGUUCACACUGUGACGGUAGCUUACCAGAAAGGGACGGCUAACUACGUG